This 253-nucleotide ribosomal RNA is filed under the name uncultured bacterium. Its description in RNAcentral is "partial 16S ribosomal RNA". It matches the Rfam family "Bacterial small subunit ribosomal RNA", at positions 524 to 776 of the family's 1533-position model. The record is from RNAcentral.
UACAGAGGUCUCAAGCGUUGUUCGGAUUCAUUGGGCGUAAAGGGUGCGUAGGCGGCGCGCUAAGUCGGGUGUGAAAUCUCGGAGCUUAACUCCGAAACUGCAUUCGAUACUGGCGUGCUUGAGGACUGGAGAGGAGACUGGAAUUUACGGUGUAGCAGUGAAAUGCGUAGAUAUCGUAAGGAAGACCAGUGGCGAAGGCGGGUCUCUGGACAGUUCCUGACGCUGAGACACGAAGGCCAGGGGAGCAAACGGG